Small nuclear RNA from Zalophus californianus (California sea lion), 107 nucleotides. Lineage: Eukaryota; Metazoa; Chordata; Mammalia; Carnivora; Otariidae. The record is from Ensembl.
GUGCUCACAUUGGCAGCACAUAUACUAAAAUUGGAACGGUACAGAAAAGGGUAGCACGGCCCCUGCGCAAGGGCGACACGCAAAUUCAUGAAGUGUUGCAUAUUUUU